AUUUGUCCAUGACAUAACUUCCUGGCCCUCAGCUACCAGUGGAAGCAGGUCUCUCUGGUUCGACCUGUUAAUACCACAGACUCUACUUUGCCAGAAAUGUGACUUCUUGAUGAAUAAGUUGGUCCAGACCUGCCAAUUUGAAGUGAACUCAUAUUUGGCAGUCUGCUGGAGCGCCAACGAUCAAGAGGAGACCAGAUGAGUUUUCAGAGCAGUCCUCAAACACCCAGGACACACCUCAUCCUUUGCCUCAUGCUUUCUGCAAUGUUGCUGCUCACAUUCAUCUUCCUAUUAACGCUUGCCAUAAUUACCCCUUCCUGAUCACCAUUCUUCCUCCAUUCACUACCUACUCAGCUCUUUCUCCAAGGUGCCCGUCUUAUGGGCAGUGGCUUUGUUCUCUGUUUGGCAAGUUCCCCUCUGAGUUAUGUCCAGAUGGCUAACAUUGGUUUCCCUCUUUCCUCAUGCCCAACAGCCCCUGCCUCAUGUCCAACAGCCCAGCAUUCAGUCCCUAGGUGAGGAAAACCACAGUACAUCCUACCUCUUCCAAAAUGAAAAGUUGCAAGACUCUGCCAGAGCAGUCACACUCAAUGAAGAUACUCGAGGUAUCUGAGUGUGAUGUAAUUAAAACUAGAUGGAAAGACCAGAAAUCCCUUAGUCCCAGUCAGAUAUUGAAAGCGCUUACUCAUGACUGUUUGGACUGAUUAAGAAUGUGGAGGUAGGAAGAAGAGAAAGAGAAGGAUCCUCAGAAUUGGACUGCCCCUGAAUACAGGAUGGAAUCAUCCAGACUUUUUUCCUCCAAUUAAAUUUGCAUUUCAUUCUA
This is a long non-coding RNA of Prionailurus viverrinus (fishing cat), 817 nucleotides long. RefSeq lists it as uncharacterized. The transcript has 2 exons. NCBI's taxonomy places the organism in Eukaryota, Metazoa, Chordata, Mammalia, Carnivora, Felidae. The record is from RefSeq and is a predicted model, not a curated record.